Long non-coding RNA from Alligator mississippiensis (American alligator), 7129 nucleotides. RefSeq lists it as uncharacterized. Lineage: Eukaryota; Metazoa; Chordata; Crocodylia; Alligatoridae. The transcript has 2 exons. The record is from RefSeq and is a predicted model, not a curated record.
UUCAACACAGUUUUCAUUUAUUUGCAUAUAUACAUACUGCAUUUUAAUCAUCUCUAUAUAUUUGAUUCUCAGGGAAUGACAAAGAUUAACUUGUAUGGAGCAGGAAAAACAGAUUUUAUAGCUAUUUUGAAUAAUGUAGACAUGAAUUUGGUAAAAUAUAAGAACAAGAAUUUUAACAAAUAUUGUCUUAAAUACUAAUAGAAAGUUGCAUAAAAACACGGGGAUAUUGUACAUCUAUUGAUCUAAUCUGUGCUUAUCAGAGUCACGUAAACCAAGAGAUGCAGUAGAUUGACUUCUAAGGUCACUUAAUUCUUUUUAUCAUUUUGUGGAAUAGUAGGUCCCACAAGAGGAUCCUUUUGGACUAAGUACUUUAUCAAAAAUAUCAAGAAUACUUUCUUCAAAACAAAUACAUAAAAAGGGUGGGGGAAUGAAGAGAAGCACAUAAACAAAGGUGCCAAAGUGAUGGUAGUUGCAAAAAUAUUUUUUUUAUCUGUAUAUGUUUAGCUGUUGCAUAAUUAAAAAAUAAUGUUUUUGUUUAUAUAUUCAACAAAUCUUUUAAAAAAUUUAUAUUUAACACAGUGCUAUUUUAAUUUAGCCUUUGCCUGUCUUUAUUUUUAAAAGUAUUUAUCUAACCAUAGGUUCUCUCUCACAUAAGGAUAACUAGUGUGGAUUAAGCUGUCAGUUGAUAUGGUGGGUAGUGGUCAUAUACAUAAUUAAGGAAACUGAGUGGGUAGAUAUUUCUAUUCAUACCACAUUACCAUAUUAUUCUAAUAAUGUAUUUUAUAGCAAUGUUGUCCAUAUAGACUUCUCUAUCCACUCUUCUAGCUAGUUACAUGCUCUUUCCAUUAUUGCAGUGUUUAUUUGUUCUAACCUUUUCUGUUCUAAACGUAAAAUUUAAAAAUUGCUAUGUAGAGCCUGAUCCAAAGUUCUCUGAAAUCAGAUAAUUAUCUUUCUAUUGUCUAAGUGACCUUGGAGUAGGCUCCUUAAGACACAGUGCCCUUAGUUUUGUGGAAUGAUGGCUGUAUCUGAUAUUAAAGUUUUCUAGAAUGUAUAUUCAAAGGGAUGACAUUCUGGUAAAAAUAGAUAUGUGGAAAACCUGGAAACAGGUAGGGAUUAAUAUGAGCUGGUGCACUGAGUGGGAGUGAAGAAUCCCAUCACAAUGGGAACAAUGCUAAUUGAAGAGGGAAUAGGGUUGGAUCAGGACUAGAACAAUGAAGGGUGGAUGCUUAAUUAGGUGGAAGGGGGAAGAGGGGAAUCAGACAUACAAUAAUACCAUAGGAGAGGAGCUCGAAAUUUCAUUGGGGAAAGAGGUGGGUGGGAGGUGAGGAAGUGAACAGGAGUUGGAACAAUACAAGGGAGAAGGGGAAUUUACAUCAUGGUAAAUAGCUCAAAUUUGUGCGUGGGUGUGAGAGACUGGGAAUGCUUCACAAACAAUGACAUUAACAGUAGUAGCAGCACAAGAUCAUCCUGCUGAAAACUGGAAAAAUUCAGAGGACAUUCUCAUUUUUUAACUAAAAAAUUUAAUAACUGGAAGUAUUAUUUGAAAGUCAUUCUAGUGAUCUGAAGAUGCUCGCCAGAAACAAAACUCUUGUUAACAGGAGAGAGCAGGGAUAGUCUUUAUAGUGCUAAGCAGUUUCUAUAAAUUAUUUUUCUAAGAAUUCAUUCAAGUUCUUUUAUAUCUUGAGAGAAGAGAAGAGAUGCUGUGCUAAUAUAUUCUUGUAAUUCCACAUUUUACAUGGAUUGCUUAAAAUCUGAAAGUGGCAUUUUAAAAUCUAAAAAUCCAGUACAUUCAUAAUAGUCUUAUCACCUGUACUUGAGAGAGUUUAUAUUAGGAAACACUAAGCUGGUCCAAAGGAUGUUGUUGUCAUGCAAACAUACCUGUGUUUUGAAACUACAAUCAAAUUGCUGAAUAGCAGCUCUGUCUUACAAAUAAGUGAAAAAAUACAACGUUCUUUUAGAAAACCACUUUAAAUAUAGAUAAAAGCUUAACUCAGUUUCAGGAAUGCUAAAAAGCAACAUCAAAGCAAUAAGGCCAUUAAACCACACAUCACCUCAGAUCUUGCUAAGCAAAUCUAAUGGAAGAGGCACCUUUUAAGGAAUAAAGCUGAGACUUUUAGGAAAAAAGUGUACAACUUUUUUUUUCGUACACUGAACCCUCAUUGUGAGUUCAAACAUUACUGCUAGUUAUAACAGAAAGUUAUCAAGAGCCUUUUGGAAUUCAUAAUAGGUCCCUACAACAGUGCUAGUAUCAGUAACACAUGUAUACCAGCAUAAAUAUAUGCAUUUUUUAGCAAGUGAAUGAUGAUACCAUUUUGGUAUGGACAAAUGUCCAUGUUAGCCACUUUAAAAAAGGAGGGAAAACAUACAUCAACUGUUUUAUAGACCUGUGUGAAUAGGUAAGUUUUCAAUUUGGAUUCAGCUGAUCAGAGGACAGUGAUUUGAUUCAGAGAUUUGGAUAACUGUCCCAAAUCGAUUUGGCCAAAUCGGCUUUGGAAUAUUCCCCGCUGAUUCAGAGAGAUUCGGUGAUUUGGCCAUAGACUAUAAUGGGGAAUCACUGAUAUACCUAUAACUUUGUCAUUUUUUGGCAGAUUUGGAUGAAAACAUCAGGGAUGGUAGCCCCUUCUGAGGGCAUGAAGCAUGCCAAGUUUCAAGGAAAUAGGUGCAGGGGUUUCUGGGAAAAUGCACCUCAAGCUUCUGAAAGCAAAACUCAUGUGCCCCCCAAGACCAAGGUGGCACCAGUUACCCAUGCACUGAAUAGUUGGAGAAAUAUGUCUUAGCAAGCUUUUGGGUUUAAAAACCCUUUGUCAGGCUGAGGAAGCACCUAGUUGGUGUGUGUGCACUUUUUGUAGAUGGAGUGAAUAGUGAAGAAGUCAGAGGCUGGCAUGCAAUGCAGGAAAGAAAGCCAGUCAGUGAAAAUAUAAUUGAGGUGUAAGGGGGUGAGGGACAGGCUGGGGAGAGGGGCGGUGAAGAGGGGAUGUAGCAGGUAAAAGUGGAGAGGUACCUGGGGAGUUGGAUGUUGGGCAGGUUAUAGUGUGUCAUAAAUCCAAUGUCUCUAUUGAGUCCAUGAGUUUCUGUAUCUAGGAGGUUGACGAAGUGCAGUUCAUAGGCUUGUCUGUGAAAAGUGGUUUCUGAAUUCCCUUUGAGGAUAAGGCCUGAGAGAUUGGAGACAGAGUGGCUUUCCUGUGAGAAAAGUCUCCCCCAGGUUGUUGUGUAUUCUUGUCUGUAAUAGAUUGGAUUAGUAUGUUGGCAGGUUUUGCAUUUCUUAUCAUGGCAUGGUCUAGAUCAGGGGUAGGCAACGAUAUUUGGCCAGAGUGCCGAAAAAAACCACAAUGUCUACCUUGGAAAGUGCCAGAGUGCCGACAUGUCAGAACCUGGAGCAGCUGUUUGCAGCCUCCCGGCUGCAGCCGGCCCAUGGAGCCCAGUCUGCUUGCAGCAGGGCUUGCAGCCUCUCAGCCACCUGCUGGGAGUAGCCUGGGCUCCAUGGCUGGCAGCAGCUAUUUAGAGCCUGGGCUGGCAGUGCUGUGCCAAGCAAAAUGGUCUUGCAUGCCAUGCUCGGCACGUGUGCCAGGGGUUGCUGACCCCUGGUCUAGAUCCAUUCAGUGUGUUUUGGGCUGCAGACAGAGGCUUAUAUGCUGUUUCUACGUCCCUCCCCCAGAGCACUGUGAUUGGAAAGGGACUCAGGGAAACAUCACAGUCACUGGCCAGCUACAGAUGCAAGUCUCCCCGCCCCGUUUCCCCUCUCUCCGCUCAGUUUCUCUUCCCUUGCGAGACUGCUUUCUGAAUGUCCAAAUAUUUUUCAAAUAUUUUCCGAAUCGAUUAGGAGGCUUUUUUUCCCUCCUGAUUCAAUUCAGGUUGGUGAUUCAGCCUCCGAAUUGGGCGGAAUCUUCUCUGAAUCUAAUCAGUGACUGAAGCUUUACCACACCCCUACUGUUUUAGUCUGUUAUGUCUACAUGAUCCUAUAGCAGUAAAUAUAAAUUGCCCUUACUUUCUCCUUGAAUUAAGUAAGUUAAAGUUGUAGUGAUUUUGCUGCAUUUGUAACACUACAGAAUCAUGCAGCUAUAAUAACUGCAUUUUAACAGUUUAUAUUGGUUUUCUCUGCAUAUCAAUACACUUGUAUCUGUCUUUCUUUUCUCCCCAAGGACUAAAGAUUUAGAACUUGCUAGGGUUUUAAAAUUUGUUUAUGUUUGAGAUAAUAUGGUUGCACUUGAAUUUAUGAUAGUCAGCUUAUUUUUCCUUUUCAAAAAUGAAAUGUCAUAAAAUCUGCUGGCCAGUUAAAUACUUAUAAUAUUUAUUCAUUACUUCAUUCAUUCAUUGUAUUAGAAUCCAGAAAAUUAUGCAAUCAAGUAUUUCUUUUGUAAAGUAAACCUUUUCAAAUACAGCUUUAAUUUGGUCAGAAGUUUUUUCCAUCUUCCUAGUGUCUGAGUAAUAGUCAUUAGCAUAAAACAGGAAUCAUGCAACUGUAGCCAGAACACCACUGAAGACGUCCAGAAUUGUAAACAUAAACUAUGACAAUUUGAAUGAAAACUGUAUAUAACAGCUCCUACCCUCUGUGAAUUUGGACAGUGCUUUCAAAUGCACUAUAAGACAUUUGUAGGGACUUUCAAACGUGCUCAACAGCAGAAUUUAUUAGAGUAGCUCUUUGCCUGGGGCAUCCACCAUAUGCAGGUAGGUCAGUGCCAGCUUCUGGGCUGCCAGUUGUAGUGGCAUGUCCAGCUCUCACUGUGGAAGCAGCAGCUUUUUAUGCCCCUUCCCCCCAAGGUGGCAAUGAGGGCUGUUACCUCAGUUGCACCUCCCACAUCUCUCCAUUAUGCUACUGCUGACCAGCAGAUUUCAUCCCCACCCCUCUGAGAGCCCUUUGGGUUAUGGUCUGUCCUUUCAAGAAUCUCUCUUCUGCAGUUAUGCCUUCUUGUUCUGUCACCACAAUACACUCUUCUUAGUUUGUUCAGGUCUGGCUAUGAACAAGUUUGCAAAGCUCAAAGAUUGUGGGUGCUGACAGACUCCCCGGUCUAACUCAUGGCCCUGCCCAGAAAAUGUCACGAGUUAGAUUGACCCUCCUGAUCCAACAGAUGUUUGCUCUUGGAGGAUGGGUGAUUGAGAUUCACUUUGGAGCUGAUCUGGGGAGUGAGGCUGUGUGUCUGCAGUGUCUGUCCCCUAGCCUCACGCUCCUUUCUAAGCUCCCAUGCUGUCUCAGGAUGGGAGGGGGAAGGCAUGGGAGAGGGGAUCCAUUCUGGGGUUUCCCCAGCUUACUCUGGAGUGGGGGUGGUGGGUGAAUUGGAGCCCCCAACCUUGACAGGGCUCCAGUCCACCUGCCCUACCCUCCAGCACUGGCUAGGCAACCCCAAGACUGAACUCACUCCCCUCCUUUCUCCCCCAUCCAUUCUGAAGACAAUACCCAGAGCAGGGCUGGACUGUCAGCCCAGCCCUGUUCCUGGUGUGCGCUGACAGAUGUUAAUGAAGACGUUCCAUUUUGGAGCGCUUUCAUCUCAACCCUCAUACAGCAAGGGUUCAGAUUGUCACAUGAUUGGGGAUUUUUAAAGCACUUUGAAGCCAUGCACUUAUGUCAGUAUGUGGCUGUAGAGUGCUUUCAGUGGCCAGUCGCACAACAAACUGUCAUGUCUGUCAGUGCCCAGAGUGUAUCUUUAACAGCAGCUUCUUACAUCUUUCCUUUGUUCUCUUUGUCACAACCCAGUGAUUUUGGUGCCUCGGCACAGUGGAAUUUUCCCGCCACAUGAGAGCCUCUUGCAAAGUAAAGGUUUUCUGUUGCAGCAGAAAACCCCCGGUGCAGGAGAGUUCCCGCCAUUCGAAUGCAAAUUUGUGUCCCGCUAUUGGCCAGUUCUAAAUUAUUCCUAUGUGGCGGCUAGUAAUUGGCUUGCUGGCCGUUUAAAAAUUAGCGCGACUUCCGCCCAAGUCGGUGAACUUUGAGCACGCUGCAGAGUGCCUCUGGAGAGAUCUGACUCGUGGCUGAGCUGAUCGAUAGACUGAUCACCUAUCGAUUCUUCUCCCCGUUGUUGAGCGCAAUCCCAGACGUAUCCUUUUCCCUGCCGGCCUGAUUUGUAGACGGACGUGCUGGCCUGAGCCCUGCCAGCUGGAACAACUAAUGUAGUUGUUCAGAUGACCGGACUGUUUUCAUCGCAACCGCAAGCAACGUUGUGGAAAUCUCAGACCCUCACCUGAAUUUUGUCCCUCAGAUGCAACCCUUCCAACUCUUUGGUAGUAUACCUCCAUUAAGGCUGUCCUAUUAGAAAUGCUUUAUUGACUACGAAGACUGCCAGGGAUCUCUGAUGGUGAGGUAGCUCCGUGGAAGAUGUGCUAAUGUGUUGAAGCUGUGUUAAGACUUCAUGGCUAGAUUCCAAAGGAACGGAAGGAGGACAGUGUGCUUUCCUGCACGUUACUUGGGAAGUGCCUUAAACUGGAUGGAGAGGACUUCACAAGGGAUGUACAAAGGGAGGGUGCUACCAAAGAGGCUGAUUCACUUUUCUGAGAAGUUGCAUGAUCCAUGUAUGGCUCAGAGGAAGUGCUUUGUCAUAGUCUAACCCCCAGAAUGAAUCAGGAAUUUUGAAUGCAAAGCAACAAACAGUUUCUGGAGAUGCAAGCUUUGGGAGGUGGGAGGGUGUUGUUUUUCCUAAUAUAUAAAUACUGCACAAUACUAAUCCUAGUAAAGUCAACCAGUUCAUUAGUUCAUAAAAUGAUAUUUUCAUUUUUGAGCCAUUUGGGUGUACAAUAUUUUGACAGAAAAAGAAACCAAGCAAACUGCAAAAGUAACACUUGUCAAAAUCUGACUUAACCGUUCCUAUUUGUUUGGAAUUUAUUGUUCAGACACUAGAAUCUUAGUUACUUAUUUUGUCUGAUCCUUUCAUGCCAUUACAUAUUGACUGUUCUCUGUAUUUAAUAAUAAUUAUUAUUAAUGUGUAUUUAAUAAUGGUUCCUGAAGUUAGCAUAUAGUGAAGGGUUUAUUAGUAGGCUUUAACAAUGAGAGUUGGUGGUAUGCUGGGAGAACUUCCAGAUUUACAGAUUCAUUUUAGUUAACAAAUUACAUUGUAAAGUGUGACUUUUGUGAUUAGAAAUGCUUUUUCCACAGGGAAAAUGUAUAUUCCUUUCAAAAUAUAAUAAAUGAUAACCUUCUUUUACA